UGAGCUGUGGCACAGCAGGUUAAAGCCCCAGCCUGCAACGCUGCAUCUGGGUUUGAGUUCCAGCUGCUCAG
Molecule: transfer RNA, 71 nt
Filed under: Oryctolagus cuniculus (rabbit)
Lineage: Eukaryota; Metazoa; Chordata; Mammalia; Lagomorpha; Leporidae
Source: Rfam by way of RNAcentral